UACGAAGGGGGCAAGCGUUGUUCGGAAUUACUGGGCGUAAAGGGCGCGUAGGCGGCUUAUCAAGUCAGGCGUGAAAUUCCCGGGCUCAACCUGGGGGCUGCGCUUGAUACUGAUGAGCUUGAAUGCGGGAGAGGAUAGUGGAAUUCCCAGUGUAGAGGUGAAAUUCGUAGAUAUUGGGAAGAACACCGGUGGCGAAGGCGGCAUCCUGGACCGGUAUUGACGCUGAGGCGCGAAAGCCAGGGGAGCAAACGGG
RNAcentral lists this ribosomal RNA (253 nucleotides) under uncultured bacterium. RNAcentral describes it as "partial 16S ribosomal RNA". It matches the Rfam family "Bacterial small subunit ribosomal RNA", at positions 524 to 776 of the family's 1533-position model. The record is from RNAcentral.